CGAGCCCUCGGAACAGGGGAGGCUCAGUUCCCUCCCAAGCCACCGACCUCCUCCUCCAGCCCCGUCCACNNNNNNNNNNGGGGGGGACGACAUUUCUCAAAGUAAACUCAGUGUUCUUGGGGUUUACCCAAAAUACGAGCCCGGCAGGACAGACAGACGCUGGAAAGGCGAGCGAGAGGGAGAGCAGGAAAAGCCACAAGCCCCGUUGCUCCAUCCAAGUCACGAGCCCGGUUUUCACUUGGGCAAAGGGGACAAAACUCCAGCAGCAUCACUUGUCCACAUCAGACAAAUGGGGAAACUGAGGCACGGGGAGGUGGUGGACACCAGAGCAUCUGCUCUAGACCCAGGGCCAACAGGUCACCCCUCGGCAGGUCUCAGCCACGCUCAUCACCAGGGGAUCUCCUGCCAGAGAGAUGGAUUGAGCUCACCCUGACUCCCCCAGCCAGCCCAGGAGGGCUCUCCUACAGCAAACAGCUUCGACUCCAUCCCCGGCGUGACAGCAAUAAUAAUAUUAACCCAUUAAUUAGACACUGCAGUGCUUCCCUGCGACCUAUUCAGAGCUCACCCAAAGCUCGGCGCACGCCCCGGGUGCCCUCCGUGCCCCCCCCCUCUGUCGCGGCACUUUCUGUCCAACCGGUUCUGCUCUUUAUUUUUGUUUCAGGGAGGACUUUAUCUCCCCGGCCAUCUCCAGCUGAGGGCCAGCAGAAAACCCACCUGCCACCCAGGGCAAGCUGUGGCCCAAGGCGGGUUGUCCCAGGUCCCACGUGGGAUCAACCGAGAAAUAAAAUCAGUUUUUUGCAAACAGAGGGCAUUUCCCAGCUGCAGGGGCUUUUUUAAGGCCAAGAUAACAAUGGCCUGAGCUGCUUUUUUUUAUCUGAAGCCUCGGGAAUGGAUGAUCUGGGAAGGAGGAGUUCCUGCACUGGACGGAGGGGACAGCUCUGCCGUCUCUAAACAUCUGGUUUGCAACCCCCAGGAGCCUGUUUUGGCCAAGAGCCUGGUUGGGGGGGAGCACAGCGGGGGCUUAAAGAUGCUGCAGCUGCUGGGGAGAGUCUAGACAGGCUUCAUGCACCCGGUGCCACCCCGGGCAUCCCCAGUCACCACCCAUGGCAAAUCUGGAGCCCAAGAUGCCAUCACAGUUAGUCCCUAGCCCAGGUUACCUGGCCCAAGAGGCAGGCUUGGCUUUUCUUGCCCCCAUUCGUGUGCAGAAGGGUGAUGGCAGUAACACAGUUCCCCCCACAUCUCCCCCCAGGAUGUGCUGGGAUAAAGCAGGUAGAGAGAGCCCCAUCCCUGCACAGAGACCCCCAAGAGCUCAGGCCAGGAGCCUGCAGUGGGCUACCAUGGACCAGCUGAUGCAACGAGACCUGUUGACAUGCCCAGGCUGUCUCACCAAGUCAAAGCCUUCCCUCCACCAGUGCUGGAGCAAAAGGACCCCCAUGCCCUGAGCUGGGGAUGUUCAGCACAAUUUGUCCCCUUCAGACACUGGAAGACGCCGGUCACCACUUGAAAUCAAGAAGAAACUCCACCCCACGAGGCAGAAGGACACCCAAAAGCCAAAUCACCCCAGGACCCCACACCGUCCCAUGUCCCUCAGGCUUAUGGAUUGCUCCAUCCUGGCCUGGGGACAGAGCGGAGACGGAUCUGCAGAUCCAGGCACUUUCCCUCCUCACCUCAGGGAACACGCAUGAAUUUUUAAAAUUUCCUGCCAAGUAUCCAUUGUGCAGAUGUGGAGUUCUUGGCAGGGACCUCCAACGGGCUCCCUGAGGUACGAAGGGGAACUCUCCCGAGCGCAGGCUCUGGCUGACCACCUUCCUGAAGCCCUGGACCCCACACUCUGGGC
Molecule: long non-coding RNA, 1837 nt
Filed under: Calidris pugnax (ruff)
Lineage: Eukaryota; Metazoa; Chordata; Aves; Charadriiformes; Scolopacidae
Description: lncRNA (ENSCPUG00000018945.1)
Source: RNAcentral